This 253-nucleotide ribosomal RNA is filed under the name uncultured bacterium. RNAcentral's name for it is "partial 16S ribosomal RNA". It matches the Rfam family "Bacterial small subunit ribosomal RNA", at positions 524 to 776 of the family's 1533-position model. The record is from RNAcentral.
UACGUAGGCAGCGAGCGUUGUUCGGAUUUACUGGGCGUAAAGAGUGCGUAGGCGGUUUUCUAAGUUUGGUGUGAAAUCUCCCGGCUUAACUGGGAGGGUGCGCCGAAGACUGGAAGGCUUGAGUAUGGGAGAGGUAAGCGGAAUUCCUGGUGUAGCGGUGAAAUGCGUAGAUAUCAGGAGGAACACCUGCGGUGUAGACGGCUUACUGGACCAUAACUGACGCUGAGGCACGAAAGCGUGGGUAGCAAACAGG